Cryptotermes secundus is the source of this 1343-nucleotide long non-coding RNA. RefSeq lists it as uncharacterized. The record is from RefSeq and is a predicted model, not a curated record. NCBI's taxonomy places the organism in Eukaryota, Metazoa, Arthropoda, Insecta, Blattodea, Kalotermitidae. The transcript is spliced from 3 exons.
CAAAACCGACAGCAAUAAUGGCGGUGAGAAUAUGCUACUAAUAUUUUGCGCAUAUUACAUAUAUAUUUGCCAACCAAUCACAGACAGUUCUGAUUUAUUAUUUUAUGUUUCGUUUGUGAUAACUGUUCGCAGUCAGUGACUGACAAGUAACGAUAUUUAAUUCAUUGCUUUUGCGUGUGAAUUUUGAUUUGAUGACUUGAAACGGGAGUCUAAGCCUACACACGACGUUGCGUAUAAUGUAAGACAUUUUAUUUGCACGACUCCCAUGCCUGCCACACCGAAUGAAAUUGAAAUGUAUUGAAUUUUCUCAAGCCAAAAAAAUAUUAUGGUUAUGAUAUUUCAUCGAAAUUUGUGAAAUACUACUUAGAUUAUAUGAGUAGUCUGUUCAGUUGUCUUUGUUGUAACUGAAUGGAAGUAAGUGUUCAUAUUUGUGUUAUGACAUGUUAUACAGCUACUGGUGUAGCACGAAGGGCCGUGGAAUGUACCCUGAUUGUGUUAUAAUUUUUGUAAUCCUACUUGCAAUACAAAAUGGAUAGAAUAAGAAUAUGCUAUGCUUCUAGGUGCUUUUUAUCCAUCCUGGCGGCAGAAAGGACUAAUUUUGCAGCUUUUCCAUGGAUCCAGCAUGGUGUGUCAAUUUAAGUUAAAUUCUGAGUUAUAUAAUAGGAAUACAAGAUAUAAUAAAUUCCAUUAUCCUACAUGGCUCUGGCAUAGAGAGGAAAGGUUGGGAUAACCUGCACUAUUGAUUCUGCUAGAAUGCUGCACAAUAACUAUUUCUGUAGCAGACAUUUCUUGGAAAGUGAUUUCACUGCAGCUGAAAGGGUACACCUGAAAAGAGUGGCAGUUCCAUGUGGCUCAGUUUCAGUUCCACUGUCAGACCCACAAACUUCUGGCCCUUUGUUACCUACUCUUCUUUCUUGGAUCCCUUGCCCUCAAUUAUAACUCCCAUACUCAUGCUGUACCUCCCACCAGAACAUGAAGCAAGUCACUGGUGUCCUCUGUUGUAAUAUAUUUCCAUCCAUAUAGACAGUUGUUCCACUUCCUGUCAAAUGUCUGCAGUCCAACCAUCACCAUCAUAUUGUUUAUGUGAAGGCCUGCGACUCACCAGCACGAGACCUCAAGUGACUCGUCUGCCAUAAGAGGAAGGAGUUGUUGCUGUACAGUCAUAAUGAGCAAGUUACACCAUUUCUCUGACGUCCAGUAUGCUGUCCUAUCAUCAAUGCAUGGCUCUUUGAGAUAGCAUUUUCUCUUGCAGCUAUGCCACCAGAAUCUCUGCAUGUCAAGACUGAAGUGAAAAUCUGGGCAUGUCAAGACUGAAGUGAAAAUCUGUGCAUGUCAAGACUGAA